UACGUAGGGUGCGAGCGUUAAUCGGAAUUACUGGGCGUAAAGCGUGCGUAGACGGUUAUUUAAGUCGGGUGUGAAAGCCCCGGGCUCAACCUGGGAAUUGCAUUCGAGACUGAAUAGCUAGGGUACGGUAGAGGGAAGUGGAAUUUCCGGUGUAGCGGUGAAAUGCGUAGAUAUCGGAAGGAACAUCAGUGGCGAAAGCGGCUUCCUGGACCAGAACUGACGAUCAGGCACGAAAGCGUGGGGAGCAAACAGG
This 253-nucleotide ribosomal RNA is filed under the name uncultured bacterium. RNAcentral describes it as "partial 16S ribosomal RNA". It matches the Rfam family "Bacterial small subunit ribosomal RNA", at positions 524 to 776 of the family's 1533-position model. The record is from RNAcentral.